Molecule: ribosomal RNA, 474 nt
Filed under: uncultured bacterium
Lineage: Bacteria
Description: partial 16S ribosomal RNA
Rfam family: Bacterial small subunit ribosomal RNA
Source: RNAcentral
GAUGAACGCUAGCGGCAGGCCUAACACAUGCAAGUCGAGGGAGGAGCCUUCGGGCUUCGACCGGCGUACGGGUGCGUAACGCGUAUACAAUCUGCCCUUCACAUAGGGAUAGCCCGAAGAAAUUUGGAUUAAUACCUAAUGGUAUAUAGAUGUGGCAUCACCUUUAUAUUAAAGCUGAGGCGGUGAAAGAUGAGUAUGCGUUCUAUUAGCUAGUUGGAGAGGUAACGGCUCCCCAAGGCGACGAUAGAUAGGGGUUCUGAGAGGGAUAUCCCCCACACUGGUACUGAGAUACGGACCAGACUCCUACGGGAGGCAGCAGUGAGGAAUAUUGGACAAUGGUCGGAGGACUGAUCCAGCCAUGCCGCGUGCAGGAAGACGGCCUUAUGGGUUGUAAACUGCUUUUGCAGGGGAAGAAUAAGGACUACGCGUAGUUUGAUGACGGUACUCUGCGAAUAAGCAUCGGCUAACUCCGUG